Molecule: ribosomal RNA, 468 nt
Filed under: uncultured bacterium
Lineage: Bacteria
Description: partial 16S ribosomal RNA
Rfam family: Bacterial small subunit ribosomal RNA
Source: RNAcentral
GACGAACGCUGGCGGCGUGCUUAACACAUGCAAGUCGAACGGAAAGGCCCUGCUUUUGUGGGGUGCUCGAGUGGCGAACGGGUGAGUAACACGUGAGUAACCUGCCCUUGACUUUGGGAUAACUUCAGGAAACUGGGGCUAAUACCGGAUAGGAGCUCCUGCUGCAUGGUGGGGGUUGGAAAGUUUCGGCGGUUGGGGAUGGACUCGCGGCUUAUCAGCUUGUUGGUGGGGUAGUGGCUUACCAAGGCUUUGACGGGUAGCCGGCCUGAGAGGGUGACCGGCCACAUUGGGACUGAGAUACGGCCCAGACUCCUACGGGAGGCAGCAGUGGGGAAUAUUGCACAAUGGGCGGAAGCCUGAUGCAGCAACGCCGCGUGCGGGAUGACGGCCUUCGGGUUGUAAACCACUUUCGCCUGUGACGAAGCGUGAGUGACGGUAAUGGGUAGAGAAGCACCGGCUAACUACGUG